Molecule: RNA transcript, 6411 nt
Organism: Centrocercus urophasianus (Greater sage-grouse)
Lineage: Eukaryota; Metazoa; Chordata; Aves; Galliformes; Phasianidae
Gene name: harmonin-like
Exons: 4
Source: RefSeq, a predicted model, not a curated record
AUGGAAUUUGAGCAAAGACUUGCCAAAGAGAAAGAAGGAAUGCUGGAGAAAGAAAAACAACUGAAAAUAAAUCGUCUUGUGCAGGAGGUAUCUGAAACAGAACGUGAAGAUCUGGAAGAAUCAGAAAAAGUGCAGCACUGGGUGGAAAGACUUUGUCAGACACGGUUAGAACAGAUUUCCUCUGUGGAAAAUGAAUCUCCUGAGUUGGCAAGUGGACGUCCUGCCGCUUCUUCCUCUGCCACAUCAGUGAGGCGGUUUGCUGGUGGCUUACAGCUUCAUACCACAGAUCUUGAUGAUAUAAACUUAGAUGAAGUUGAGAAACAUGUGGCACCACUUCCACCACCACCACCACCUCUCACUGUUACUCCGGUAUCAUCAGCUCAUCCACUUCCUGUAUUGAAUGUUCCACUAUCCAAAGGUCCAGUCCUAACAGUAUCACCAGCUUCCCAGGUGACCUCAUUAUCUGUUUGGAUGCACGUGCCUCUACCAUUCCCCUGCUUAGCCUCCCUCCCUGGUUCCAUUACCCACUUCAUCUAUUGGAUCAGCCAGUCUACUAUUAUUUGUAACAUUAAAAUAAAUGAAGUGUUUCUGUCGUUUGAUAGUCCGUGAAUGCAGUCCAGAGGUUGUUUCAUUAUUUAUUCUUGAAAUUUAAGCCUAGAGGGCUUUGCUCUCUCCUUCCUGCAUGUGUUGCAGACCCAUCACGUGCAAAUAUGUUGGGCAGAAUGUAAUAGUUAAAAAGAUAUUUGGAUGUGUUUAAAAAAGAAAAUGUCAGGCAGCAGAUUUAAUUCAAGUUUGAGAAAAAAUAUCUGUGUAGUGAAAAUCACUGCUCUGAAAGUCUUUAAAAUUUUAUCAGGUUUGUUUGUUAGCUGCAAAGAUUGGAAGAAGAGAAUUAGCUUGAAAUCAGAAGACCCAACUUUUAAAACCUCAACACAGCAUAAAUUAUCAGUAAAGCAAUUUUAAAUGAACAAGAGUUGGUGAUCUUUCUGUAAAUCAGGUUUGCUGACUUUUUACUGACACAAAAGAGCUAGAGAUUUCUUCUUCAGAAUAUUCCAACUUUAUUACAAUCUCAGUCUAAAAGAGGAUCACGUAUGUAAGAAAUCUUGUGCCAGAUCUCAUUCUAGGAGAGAAAUGGCAGCUGCUGCAUUGCACUUUUCUCUUGCACUGUGAUGGGAUUUGUGUACUCCAAUUUGUGUACCAAAAUAUUAUUGUUUCUUUCAAAGCAAAAGAGGGUCCUGUAUUAUCACGUCUUUCCUACGUGUUGUUUUUCCUGCAUGGAUUUAUCGAUUGCACUAUUGUGUGUGUUGUUUGCUUGGUUUUUUUUUCUUGCAUUUUUACUUGGAAAUACUAGAUUUCUGCUUUUGCGUGAUUUUGGUUAAAGUGAGAAAGGAUAUGCAAGUUUAUCACUUCUUGGGGGAAACCGGCAGAUUAUGUGAAUAAUUGCCUUAAUGCAAACUACAUAUAUUUCAUCAUUAUCUUCUUACAGUGCUUCCUCUUACGUGGGUUACAAGUUUGAAGUGCCAAGAAUAUGCUAGAUCCAUUGAAAUGGAGAUGUCGCACGUUCUUAUGGAUAACAAAGAUCCCUUGUUGUCCACAAAUAAGUGCGUGUGCAUCUAAUGCUAAGGGUCUGAUUUUUAAAGGUAACACAGGAGCUUCUAAACUGGAUCUAACCUCAAACUCACAUAUUCCAAUAUGUGUUUCUGGUAAUUAUUCACUGCCAGAUGUCUUUGAGCAAAAGGUCAGUAAUUAAAGAAAAACACGGCUGGCAAGAACAACAAAAAUUACCUAGCCUUCAGUAAUGGUAGGCUAGUUCUCACUGAAUAUAAUUAGCUGUGUAUACAAGGAAACAACUAAGCUCUUAAUAAACUACUAAUACUGAACUAGAGCUGCUUUGUUUAUAAGCAGUAUUAUCAGUAACCUAGUAUUGCUAAUGGGGCAUCAGACAUGAUAGUAAAAUCAGAAGGUGGACAGCUUCUCCUUGCCUCUUCUUAAAAAAUGCUGCAAGUAAAACAAAAACAUUUUGUUUGAUUUCAAUAAUGAAACAUCUUGCAUUUAUGCCAACCAAAGCAAAAAUUAAGGAAGACUUCGUGUUGUCCACCAAGAAUAUUUUUCUCAUUUUAUUCAAAACUGUAAAUCUUUUCUUUGGUGCUAUUUUUCCCCCAAGAUCAUUGUAUUUCAAAUUCAGCUCUUAACAAAUACCUGACAAAAAGAACGAAGUUUCCUGUCAAGUAUGUUCUUGGCAACUAGCUGUUAAAACACCUCAUAUAAAAGGAUCUCUUUUAUAAGAUUAUUAGCAACUGUAUAUUUUUACCUGAACCCAGUACUAAGUCUGCUACUGUUUAGGUUGUAAGAAACACCUCCCACGUUGGCAAAGUGUCUGCCGUGUCAAGCAGUCCGCUGGUAUGUCAUGUGUUGUUAAUAAUGAAUGUAGUUUUAUGAGUUUCCCAUGUAAUGGUAACGUAAAGGAAAGGUUAAGGGUCUCACUCUGCAUGGCUGAUUUAUUUUAAAUUUGGCACUUGCAGUCAUAUGUCUGUAUCCUGUUACAAGAUACCUAAUGCCAGGUAGUGACUUGUAAUGAUCUGAAGACUUCAUAUUUCAAACCUUCAACCAUAUACAGUCAAAGUUUGUGUGUUCCAUGCAAAGUCUCUACACUGCUGACCACGUGAGAGUGCUUUUCUGCUAAGACAAAGAGCUGGGACUGAGCUGUAUGUUAAACAUCAUGACUACAUGCUACAAAGUGAGCUCUUUUUUUCUUUUUCAUGAGAACAACUGCAUUUAUUUCAUCAGUGUUUGCAUUGAUUUUAAUUUAGGAUGACCGGAUGUCAGGUUUCCCCAUUCUGAGGCACUCUCCAUGUUGCGCAACUCCAGGAGAAAUUAUUCAGUUCCAGUGUGACUUUAACAAAGUUAAUCUGUAAACUUUCUCUCUCUUCUGAAACCAGAAAGUAAUAAUAUAUUUUAUGGAGUGGAAGCAACAUUAAUUGAGGGAUGUCUACAUGAAUUGAGGGACUUUCAAAGAACUGGUUCCAAAAAUUCUUAAAUAAAUAAAUAAAACAAUUUACUGGAAGCAAUUCAAAUAAUUUUAGAAGAUACAGCAUGUACCAUGUGAAUAAUAUCUGGAAUAGGCCAUGUUUCUGAUGAGAAACAUUGACAAGACUGUCCUGAGAGAUGCUGGGGUUAAGUCAAACUAAACCCACAGGGCUCAGUUUUGAACUUUUUACUUGAGCACAGCUACACUUGACGUCAGUAGGAGUUUUGACUGAGUAAAAAGUGUGGAAUCAGUCACAUAGCUAGUACAUGCUGCAUGAUUAAAUUUCAAAUGCUUCUAGACAUCUGUACUUUGUAGAGUAGUUAGCAUAGCUAAUCUUUGUUCUUGACUCUGAGUUAUCUUGAAGUUAUUUAUGUGGAAAGCAAUUUGCUCCAAGUCCACCUACCCAACGACAUCCAGGGGUACCAAUAAUCUCUAAACCAGUCAUGCUUCAUCCUGACCCAAACCUUAUGGUCAGGCCAACUAUCAAAUCAGAGGCCCUGGUAAGCCUUUUAAUGCUUUUAUUCUCUUGUGAAUGUUACAGUACUGUGGGAUUUGUUGUUGAUUUCUUCUCAAAGAAGCAGUGCUUGUCUCAUUUUCUGCUAAGUAAAAGUCAUAUAGACUUUCAAGUAAUCGCUAAUGGUAAGUACAAAAGGAUAUUUUUCCAGUUGUUCAUAAUCUAAGAGUCACAUUAAUGGCAGUUUUUGCACUAGUGUGUAGAAUUACAGAGCAAUAUAGACCUUAAUCUCUAGGAGAGUGUGCAGAUGUUAUUGUUUCACUUGUUCGUGCAUUGAUUUGCAUUUUCAUAAUUCAUGGGUCCUUUUAAUAGAAAUGAAAUAGUAAAAAGCUUAUUAUACUGCUUUUUUUUUCUUCUGUAAAUAGUCAUAAAUAUACUUGAAAUGUAUCUCUGCAUCUCAUUCUUUUGUUGGCAGAGAGAAAACAAUGUUGGUAUCUUAGAUAUCAAUAAAUGGAUGGUGCAAAGUCUAUUCACAGUUAGGUACUUUUUUAUUUUACCAAUAUCUGUUUCAAAUAUAAAUGAAGAAGAAAACCUGAAGAUAAAUAUUAUUGACCAAACAUAUAGCAUCUUCAAGAACUGUUUUAUGAGGGAAGAUGAGCUAUGGCUUUCUGAAAAGAAGGAAAUACUGUUAUGGCAAGUGGUAACUCCCACACAUCAGCCCAGAAAUUUCAUCUAAGAUAACUGAUGGAGAAAUCAGUAGUUACAACGUUAUUAUUGAGGAUAAUUUUGGCUUGUUUUGUUACCAUUGGUGUUAUGUGUCAAUUAUAUGUAUGUGUGUAGAUGUGUGCAUAUAUAUGUACACAGUUACAAGAGGAGGGCUGUAUAUUGUAGUGUGAGCUUUUCAUGUAGCGCAAAACAUCACAUUUGCAUUCCAUUCAUUUAAUUAAAAGCUUAUGCUAUAUCUGACAAUAAAUGAUAUGCACAGCAUUCGUAGCUGUAUUUUGUGACAAUGGGAUGGAUUUUUCUGUUACUUUCUUCCACAAUUGUUCCUCUAUUUCCCCAAUUAAGUUUGAAAAGAUUCAAAUGCUAUCAAAUCAGCUCUUCUAUAGACAUAUUUGCUGUGAAACUUCUCUAUUAUAAAUAGAUUGAAAUGAAAAAUUAAAGCAGGUUUUGUAAGUUCCUCAAGAUGAGGCAGAUGGAUGAGCUUGAAAAAAAGAUAAAAAUCAUUCUAGCAUAGUUAUUUCCUUCAGUUGUAUGCAAGGAACUUCCAUUUUAGUUAUGUUUAGAAAUUUAUAACAUUUAUGUGCAUUUUGACAUUCUGUAGAGGAGGAUUAAAAAGCGUAAAAGGCAUAAUCUACAGUUAAUACAAUCAAAAGUUGAAAAAUAAAUAUCUGAUAUAGAAAUAUUAAGUAGUAUGAAAAUUUGGUAAUACCCUUGUGUGUGAUGAGAAGGUCUUGAUACAAAAUGGAAAUAUUGCUUUGUUUAUUGUCACUGUGUACAGUUAGUGUGACAAACUGGCAAUAAGAUUCAUUCUCAUAGGGAAAUUUCUUACCAUUUGUUAUGCAUCUAUGCACACUGUCCAGACCACAAGAGUACUAAAAUGUUUUAGAUAUCAAUAAUCCUGAUUCCUCAACUGCCUUACAUGAGUUGGAAGAUCACAGUUUCAUUGAGAGUAAUAUUCUAAUAGGACUUUGAGAAAAACAUCUGUCUGUGAAUUGUUUUUGCAGACCAGUUACCUCUUUGCUCUAUUUAUAUCUUAAUGCUAUAAGAGUUAUUCAUCCUGGCUGCAUUUGAAGCCACAGUAGUAGUAUGUAGAAUAAGACUUGCACGGACUCUGUCUUAUAUGUUGUGAAUAGAAUGCAUGCAUAUAUAUUUUAUAUAUUUUAUGUAUUUUUUAAUAUAUGUAAUGUUUGCAUAUAUAGUGUGUGUGUGUGUAUGUAUCUAUACAUAUAUGUGUUUGCAAGAAUGGGUAAAACUUUCCAAAUCUCCUGUUAUCCAGGAGCUUUGAUGACUGUUGUUACUUAAAUCUUUAUAGUAACUGAAUUCAGGCUAGGAUUUCCAGGUUUCUUAAUAUUUCAUGAAAAUGAAAUUAUUUUCACUUAUAAAGUGACGGAUGGAAAUUAAAUGUUGAAUGUGGCCUUGAAUGCAUAGAGCUCUCUGGAUCAAAAUCAGUUUCAAAUGUGUGGCUCCAUAGUGCUGGAGUGAAUUAAAAUACACUCACGGCAAGGCUAGUUAAGUUUUGGUUCAGAGAACAGGGGAGGAUGGCUAUGAUUCAGUGGUAAGGUUUUCAGAGGGGCAAAACCAACAUGGAUACUAGUCUUCUCUCCCAGCUAUCACAAACAUCUGUUUGUGUGUUAGAAGGCCUUGAUGCAAUUGUGAAUGUUUUCUCUCCUGAGCUCCACUGUGGUUUGAUAUGGAGUUUCGGAAAGGAACGGUUAAUAUUUAAGCUUUUCUUGCAAGAUGUGAAGCUUGAUUCUGCAGGACUGCAGCUAAAGUGUAUCAGAUGUAGCAGCAAUAAGACAUAGUCAGAAAUUUCAGUUGUUAACCAUAGUUACAACGAGAUCAUCUGAACAGAAAAAAUUAUUCCUUGUUGUUAAGUGGCUGGGAAGGGGCUCGACAGUUUUGGGAUAUGGAAACGUGCACUACCUACAUAGUUCCUUUAUGAUUUGAUAUCAUUUUGCUAUGUGUAUUCUCUCACUUGCAGUUGUGUAGGGAACAUGUACUAAAAAAUGCAAGUAUGAUUCAGUCCCAAGAAGAGCAAAAAAACAUUGAGUUCAUGUUAUCAGGUGAUAUUUGUCUACAGCAAGGAGUUAAUACUUGGUUUGGCCGUGUUCUUUCUUUUGCAGCCACAAGAGAUGUUUAAAAGGAUGGUGGUUUACAAUUCAUCAUUUAGAUCUAACAAAAAACAAGUAAAAUAACAUUUUCCAUGUUU